Erinaceus europaeus (western European hedgehog) is the source of this 119-nucleotide ribosomal RNA. NCBI's taxonomy places the organism in Eukaryota, Metazoa, Chordata, Mammalia, Eulipotyphla, Erinaceidae. The record is from Ensembl.
GUCUAUGGCCAUACCUCCCUGAACAUGUCCAAUCUCAUCCCAUCUUGAAAGAUAAGCAGGGUUGGAUCUAGUUAGUACUUGGAUGGAAAACAUAGCACAAAACCAAUCUGACAUAAAAA